RNAcentral lists this ribosomal RNA (394 nucleotides) under uncultured bacterium. RNAcentral's name for it is "bacterial SSU rRNA". It matches the Rfam family "Bacterial small subunit ribosomal RNA", at positions 992 to 1392 of the family's 1533-position model. The record is from RNAcentral.
GUGAGCCGGUGGAAACAUCGGGGCCGAAAGGAGCCUAUACAGGUGGUGCAUGGCUGUCGUCAGCUCGUGUCGUGAGAUGUUGGGUUAAGUCCCGCAACGAGCGCAACCCUCGUCGCAUGUUGCCAGCGGUUCGGCCGGGCACCCAUGCGAGACCGCCGGCGUUAAGCCGGAGGAAGGUGGGACGACGUCAAGUCAUCAUGCCCCUUAUGUCCUGGGCUGCACACGUGCUACAAUGGCCGGCACAAUGGGCUGCAAACCCGCGAGGGUAAGCGAAUCCCCAAAGCCGGUCCCAGUUCGGAUUGGAGGCUGCAACCCGCCUCCAUGAAGUCGGAGUUGCUAGCAAUCGUGGAUCAGCACGCCGCGGCGAAUGCGUUCCCGGGCCUUGUACACACCG